UACGUAGGCAGCGAGCGUUGUUCGGAAUUACUGGGCGUAAAGAGUGUGUAGGCGGUGCUCUAAGUUCGGUGUGAAAUCUCCUGGCUCAACUGGGAGGGUGCGCCGGAAACUGGAGUGCUUGAGCGUGGGAGAGGAAAGCGGAAUUCCUGGUGUAGCGGUGAAAUGCGUAGAUAUCAGGAGGAACACCAAAGGCGAAGGCAGUGUCCUGGGGAGUACCUGACGCUCAGGUGCGAAAGCCAGGGGAGCGGAACGGG
RNAcentral lists this ribosomal RNA (254 nucleotides) under uncultured bacterium. RNAcentral's name for it is "partial 16S ribosomal RNA". It matches the Rfam family "Bacterial small subunit ribosomal RNA", at positions 524 to 776 of the family's 1533-position model. The record is from RNAcentral.